Molecule: long non-coding RNA, 1369 nt
Filed under: Monodelphis domestica (gray short-tailed opossum)
Lineage: Eukaryota; Metazoa; Chordata; Mammalia; Didelphimorphia; Didelphidae
Description: lncRNA (ENSMODG00000036020.2)
Source: RNAcentral
CUACUAUCCCUGACCUGAGAACCAGGCGUGAACUAGACUGGGUGACAGUGAUGGACCUUGAUGAGCUCGUGGGACCUUCUAGACCUGAUAUUUCUUCAUAAUAACAGCUGACAUUUACAUGACACUCCAGAAGGGUUUCCAAGAGGCUGUCUCCUUCACUCAUUGGAUUCUGAAGACAACCAAGAGAAAUAGACCAUCCUACAGGUAGGAUUCUGGGUUCUCAGGGCUCCCCCAGCUCUAACCUUUUGUUUUCUAAGGUCCCUCCUAGUUCUGACAUUCUGGGUUCUAAAGAACUCCCCCAGCUCUGACAUACUGGGUACUAAGGGUUCCCUCAACUCUGAUAUUCUAGGUUCUAAGGUCUCUCCCACCUCUGUUCUAAGGCUUCUACCAGCUCUGACAUUCUCUGUUCUAAGGCUUCUACCAGCUCUGACAUUCUCUGUUCUAAGGUCUCUCCCAGCUCUGACAUUCCCUGUUCUAAGGUCUCUCCAGCUCUGACAUUCUCUAUUCUAAGGCCUCUCCCAGCUCUGACAUUCUCUGCUCUAAGGUCUCUCCCAGCUCUGACAUUCUCUGCUCUAAGGUCUCUCCCAGCUCUGACAUUCUCUGUUCUAAGCUCUCUCCCAGCUCUGACACUCUCUGUUCUAAGGACUCUCCCAGCUCUGACAUUCUCUGUUCUAAGCUCUCUCCCACCUCUGUUCUAAGGCUUCUACCAGCUCUGACAUUCUCUGUUCUAAGGCUUCUACCAGCUCUGACAGUCUCUGUUCUAAGGUCUCUCUCAGCUCUGACAUUCUCUGCUCUAAGGUCUCUCCAGCUCUGACAUUCUCUGUUCUAAGGUCUCUCUCAGCUCUGACAUUCUCUGCUCUAAGGUCUCUCUAGCUCUGACACUCUCUGUUCUAAGGACUCUCCCAGCUCUGACAUUCUCUGUUCUAAGCUCUCUCCCACCUCUGUUCUAAGGCUUCUACCAGCUCUGACAUUCUCUGUUCUAAGGCUUCUACCAGCUCUGACAGUCUCUGUUCUAAGGUCUCUCUCAGCUCUGACAUUCUCUGCUCUAAGGUCUCUCCAGCUCUGACAUUCUCUGUUCUAAGGCCUCUCCCAGCUCUGACAUUCUCUGCUCUAAGGUCUCUCCCAGCUCUGACAUUCUCUGUUCUAAGCUCUCUCCCAGCUCUGACACUCUCUGUUCUAAGGACUCUCCCAGCUCUGACAUUCUCUGUUCUAAGCUCCCUCCCAGCUCUGACAUUCUGUUCUAAGGCCCCUUCCAGUUCUGACAUUGUGUUCUAAGAUUCUCCCUAAUGUAACAUUUAGUACUUUUCAGCUCUAUUCCUGCAAGUCCCAUUCCAGAAAAAAAAAACAUUAAGUAACCAGGGUUUUCCCC